This 650-nucleotide ribosomal RNA is filed under the name uncultured Planctomycetota bacterium. RNAcentral's name for it is "bacterial SSU rRNA". It matches the Rfam family "Bacterial small subunit ribosomal RNA", at positions 60 to 713 of the family's 1533-position model. The record is from RNAcentral. Lineage: Bacteria; Pseudomonadati; Planctomycetota.
AGUCGAACGAACCUCAGCCGGGUAGCAAUACUUGGCUGGGGGAAGUGGCGAAAGGGGCAGUAAUGCGUGGGUAACCUACCUCGGGGACCGGGAUAGCCUUUCUAACGAAAGGGUAAUACCGGGCGAUGUGGUCGAGGGGCAUCUCUUGGCCAUGAGAUGUAUUUCGCCUCGGGAGGGGCUCACGUGCUAUUAGCUAGUUGGUGAGGUAACGGCUCACCAAGGCAAAGAUGGCUAGCGGGUGUGAGAGCACGACCCGCGCCACUGGCACUGAGACACUGGCCAGACACCUACGGGUGGCUGCAGUCGAGGAUCUUUGGCAAUGGGCGCAAGCCUGACCAAGCGACGCCGCGUGUGCGAUGAAGGCCUUCGGGUUGUAAAGCACUGUCGAGGGGGAGGAAGCCGAAAGGUUGACCUAUCCCUGGAGGAAGGACGGGCUAAGUUCGUGCCAGCAGCCGCGGUAAGACGAACCGUCCUAACGUUGUUCGGAAUCACUGGGCUUAAGGGCGCGUAGGCGGGUGAUCAAGUCAGGGGUGAAAUCUUUCGGCUUAACCGGAAAACAGCCCCUGAUACUGGUUGUCUUGAGGGAGGUAGGGGUAUGUGGAACUUCUGGUGGAGCGGUGAAAUGCGUUGAUAUCAGAAGGAACGCCGGU